AAAAAAGAAGGAAGGGGGAGAGAAGAAAGAGAGUGAGAAUUUAUGAAUAAGAAAAGACAUGGAUGAGGUUUUGUUUUGUGUGAGUAUGAGGCAUGAGGGAGAGGAGAGAUGAAGGGGGGAGUGAAGGGUUGGAAGGAAGGAAAGAUAUAAGAAGGAGAGAAUAGUGAGUGAAGAUUUAGGAAUAAGAGAAGAGGAGAAUAGAAGAAUAUAGUUUAGUUUCGUGUAUAUGAGGUAUAAGAGGGAGACGAGGGGAAGGGGAAGAGAGGAAGGAGAGGAGAGGAGAGGGGAGGGGGGUGAAGGGGUUACAUAUGAAGGGUGAGAGAGAGGGGAGGUGAAGACUACAUUUGGGAAGCUGAGAUAAAAAAAAAAAUAGGAAGAUGGAACAAAGAUAACAACAUACGACAGACAGACACAGACAGACAGACAGACAAUCGAAUGAGGUUAUGAAAUACGUGUUCGUGAGAU
Molecule: long non-coding RNA, 465 nt
Organism: Eriocheir sinensis (Chinese mitten crab)
Lineage: Eukaryota; Metazoa; Arthropoda; Malacostraca; Decapoda; Varunidae
Exons: 2
Source: RefSeq, a predicted model, not a curated record